AUCAAACCUUUGGGGCUCUGCUGUACUGCAAUCAAACAGUGAACCACACUUUGACCAGAACAGGAAACUGAUAAAAACCUGAAGGAGCUCCUCAGCCUCACACACGAUCCAGACAAACACAAUGUGCAAGUACAGCUGUUUGUCUGUCCGCUCACCUGCGGGUGAGUUGGGGAUUAUCAAAUUAAACAACUCCAAAAAGCAGCAGAAGACCGUGAAAGACCUGAAGAUGAAAGCAGCGCAACUGUUUCCCAAGAAAGGAUAUCUUAUGGCUGAAUUCCAGCUGAUUGUCGCAGGGAAGCCGCUGGACAAUGACUCUGCAUCUCUGUCUGAAUAUGGGAUCAAACCCUUGUCUGUGGUGCAGAUGGUGGCGAGGGUCCAUGGAGGCUGACAGAUAUCAUCAUCGAUGCACAGCAGGACUGAAAUAUGAUGCAACAAAGGACAACAUGCGUCAUCUUUGCUAGCUGGGACUGAACUGUGUCAUCUGUGGGUCUUCCUUUAGAUUUUAAGACUUUUAUCAUACCUGUUUAGAGUUCAGUACUAACUAUCAAAGAUUGUAAAUGAUAAUUAAUUAGUGUGUAAAUAAGUAUUCCCAAGAAAGUUAUAUUGAUGUCAUUUGUUUAUUUUUCCAGCUAUUUUUUAAAAAAUCUUUUAGAGUAGCUUUCCUUGUUUCACAGUUCAAAACAAUCUUACACUUGGCCUUAGAUCAGCACCAUGCACGCCAUUCUCUGUCUGAAACAAUCUGUUGUAGUUGGCUUCCAGUUGAACAGAGUUGCAUCCUCUCCAUUCACUUCAGUUUACUGUUUUUCUCAGCAAUGUUAGAUUCUGGGAAUGCAAAGAGAAAACUGAUGUAUCUAUAAUGCAGGAUAAUGUUUGCAAUAAAAAAAAACUCAGGAAAAGCCACAAAUAUAAAAUUAUUUUCUCUUGAUACCAUUCCAUCCAACGUUGUUAAACUGGAGAAAGGCAUGUGAUUUUCCAGUUUAGUGAAAUGAUCCAAAUCUAUUGGGACCUUGACUGUGUAUUAUAAAAUGAACUUUACAAUUACUAAAGAUAUAUGUUUAGAUAUAUAUCGUCAUUAAUACAGGUUUAGAGAGCAUAAGAUUUCUAGUAAAUAGCGCAUGUUUAGGCUUUCUGAUUUGAAUGAUUAUUGUCUAUAUCAUGUAUCACGUUGCAUCUCAGCUGCUUUUAAAAGGGAGAGGGAAGCUGGGGGAGUAAAAUCAUAUUAAAAACAUGAAGUAUAUUUUAAUUGUUUCAGUUAUUUGGUGGGAAAAUAAAAAAGUUACAUGCGAAACUAUA
This is a long non-coding RNA of Oreochromis niloticus (Nile tilapia), 1293 nucleotides long. RefSeq lists it as uncharacterized. The record is from RefSeq and is a predicted model, not a curated record. The transcript is spliced from 4 exons. Lineage: Eukaryota; Metazoa; Chordata; Actinopteri; Cichliformes; Cichlidae.